RNAcentral lists this ribosomal RNA (455 nucleotides) under uncultured bacterium. Its description in RNAcentral is "bacterial SSU rRNA". It matches the Rfam family "Bacterial small subunit ribosomal RNA", at positions 340 to 786 of the family's 1533-position model. The record is from RNAcentral.
UACGGGAGGCAGCAGUGGGGAAUAUUGCACAAUGGGCGAAAGCCUGAUGCAGCUAUGCCGCGUGUAUGAAGAAGGCCUUCGGGUUGUAAAGUACUUUCAGUCGUGAGGAAGGUGUUAAGGUUAAUAACCUUAGCAAUUGACGUUAGCGACAGAAGAAGCACCGGCUAACUCCGUGCCAGCAGCCGCGGUAAUACGGAGGGUGCGAGCGUUAAUCGGAAUUACUGGGCGUAAAGGGCACGCAGGCGGUUAAUUAAGUUGGAUGUGAAAUCCCCGGGCUUAACCUGGGAAUGGCAUUCAAGACUGGUUAGCUAGAGUCUUGUAGAGGGGGUUAGAAUUCCAUGUGUAGCGGUGAAAUGCGUAGAGAUGUGGAGGAAUACCGGUGGCGAAGGCGGCCCCCUGGACAAAGACUGACGCUCAUGUGCGAAAGCGUGGGGAGCAAACAGGGAUUAGAUACC